AUUGAACGCUGGCGGCAUGCUUUACACAUGCAAGUCGAACGCGGGUGAGGGGCAACUCUCACCUGAGUGGCGAACGGGUGAGUAAUACAUCGGAACGUGCCUCGUAGUGGGGGAUAGCUCGGCGAAAGCCGGAUUAAUACCGCAUACGAUCCACGGAUGAAAGCGGGGGACCGCAAGGCCUCGCGCUAUGAGAGCGGCCGAUGUCCGAUUAGCUUGUUGGUGAGGUAAAGGCUCACCAAGGCGACGAUCGGUAGCUGGUCUGAGAGGAUGAUCAGCCACACUGGGACUGAGACACGGCCCAGACUCCUACGGGAGGCAGCAGUGGGGAAUUUUGGACAAUGGGGGCAACCCUGAUCCAGCCAUGCCGCGUGAGUGAAGAAGGCCUUCGGGUUGUAAAGCUCUUUUGGCCGGAAAGAAAAGGCGUCGGAUAACACCCGGCGUUCUUGACGGUACCGGCAGAAUAAGCACCGGCUAACUACGUGCCAGCAGCCGCGGUAAUACGUAGGGUGCGAGCGUUAAUCGGAAUUACUGGGCGUAAAGCGUGCGUAGGCGGCUCCGCAAGUCCGCUGUGAAAUCCCCGGGCUUAACCUGGGAAUGGCAGUGGAAACUAUGGAACUUGAAUCCGGCAGAGGGGGGUGGAAUGCCACGUGUAGCAGUGAAAUGCGUANAGAUGUGGCGGAACACCGAUGGCGAAGGCAGCCCCCUGGGCCGAGAUUGACGCUCAGGCACGAAAGCGUGGGGAGCAAACAGGAUUAGAUACCCUGGUAGUCCACGCCCUAAACGAUGAUCACUAGGUGUUGGGGAAGCGAUUCUCUAGUACCGCAGCUAACGCGUGAAGUGAUCCGCCUGGGGAGUACGGUCGCAAGAUUAAAACUCAAAGGAAUUGACGGGGACCCGCACAAGCGGUGGAUGAUGUGGAUUAAUUCGAUGCAACGCGAAGAACCUUACCUACCCUUGACAUGUACGGAAGCCCGCUGAGAGGUGGGUGUGCCCGAAAGGGAGCCGUAACACAGGUGCUGCAUGGCUGUCGUCAGCUCGUGUCGUGAGAUGUUGGGUUAAGUCCCGCAACGAGCGCAACCCUUGUCUCCAGUUGCUACGCAAGGGCACUCUGGAGAGACUGCCGGUGACAAACCGGAGGAAGGUGGGGAUGACGUCAAGUCCUCAUGGCCCUUAUGGGUAGGGCCUCACACGUCAUACAAUGGCCGGUACAGAGGGUUGCCAAGGCGCGAGCCGGAGCCAAUCCCAGAAAGCCGGUCGUAGUCCGGAUUGAAGUCUGCAACUCGACUUCAUGAAGUCGGAAUCGCUAGUAAUCGCGGAUCAGCAUGUCGCGGUGAAUACGUUCCCGGGUCUUGUACACACCGCCCGUCACACCAUGGGAGUGGGGUUCACCAGAAGCAGGUAGCGUAACCGCAAGGAGCGCGCCUACCCAGCGGUGACGUUUCAUGAUCUGGGGUG
RNAcentral lists this ribosomal RNA (1455 nucleotides) under uncultured soil bacterium. Its description in RNAcentral is "SSU rRNA". It matches the Rfam family "Bacterial small subunit ribosomal RNA". The record is from RNAcentral.